This is an RNA transcript of Onychostruthus taczanowskii (white-rumped snowfinch), 3336 nucleotides long. It is a transcript of the gene named 5-hydroxytryptamine receptor 7, with no coding region annotated. NCBI's taxonomy places the organism in Eukaryota, Metazoa, Chordata, Aves, Passeriformes, Passeridae. The transcript has 3 exons. The record is from RefSeq and is a predicted model, not a curated record.
CGCCACCUGCAGCUCAGAGGGCAGGAGGGAGAGAGAGGCGGAGCGGUUCCCAUCCCGUCGCCUGUCGCCUUCGGGAAGCAGCCGCGGGUGGCAGCGGGCGAUGGGCGCGGGUGGGAGGGAGGGAGCGGCCGCCACCCCCGCCCGCCCCUCUGCCCGCGGGCUGGGGGCGAUAGCGCCGUGCCCACCCCGCGGCCACCCGGGAUGCGCCGCGGGCGAGCCCGGCUGCCCCGGGGCAAGUUGAAGGCUGGGUCCCCACGGGCCGCUCGGCCGGCUGCGAGGGGGCGGGCGGCGCCGGGCGCCCGAGGAGGAGCCCGAGCAUCCCGGCGCCGGGGACAGCCGGAGAACGGGCGGAGAGGCUUCAUGGGCUGCUCACGCCAACAUGGUGCUCGCCCUCAACGGCAGCCACCUCUACGGUAACCUGCGGCCCCUGGUCCUGGAGGAGCCGCGGGCGCUGAGCGGCGGCAGGAUGAUCGCCGGCUCCUGGCCCCCGCGCAGCCUGGCGAAGCUCGGCCCGUCGCCCCCCCCGUCGGCGCUGCCCACGGCGAGCCCCCUCCCCGCCAACGACUCGCAGUGCGGGGAGCAGAUCCUCAGCUACGGCAGCGCGGAGAAAGUUCUCAUCGGGGCCGUGCUCUGCCUCAUCACCCUGCUGACCAUCGCCGGCAACUGCCUGGUGGUGAUCUCCGUCUGCUUCGUGAAGAAGCUGCGGCAGCCCUCCAACUAUCUCAUCGUCUCGCUGGCCCUGGCCGAUCUCUCGGUGGCCCUGGCCGUCAUGCCCUUCGUCAGCGUCACCGACCUUAUCGGCGGGGAGUGGAUCUUCGGGCGCCUCUUCUGCAACGUCUUCAUCGCCAUGGAUGUCAUGUGCUGCACGGCCUCCAUCAUGACCCUCUGUGUGAUAAGUAUCGACAGGUACCUGGGAAUAACAAGACCCCUUACGUACCCUGUAAGGCAGAAUGGGAGGUGUAUGGCCAAAAUGAUCCUGUGUGUCUGGCUUCUGUCUGCCUCCAUCACCUUACCCCCGCUCUUCGGCUGGGCCCAGAACGUGAAUGACGAAAAGGUUUGUCUCAUCAGUCAAGACUUUGGCUACACCAUUUACUCCACAGCAGUUGCGUUUUAUAUUCCAAUGUCAGUGAUGCUUUUCAUGUACUAUCAGAUUUAUAAAGCUGCCAGGAGGAGUGCUGCUAAACACAAGUUUACUGGUUUUCCCCGUCUGGAAGAAAUGGAAGGGAUUUCUGUGAAUGGACUUGUAAAAAUGCACAAGGAAUCUGAAGAAUGUACUAAUUUUUCACGACUCCUAAAGCACGACAAGAGAAACAUUUCCAUCUUUAAAAGAGAACAGAAAGCUGCCACCACCCUUGGGAUUAUUGUUGGGGCAUUCACAGUCUGCUGGCUGCCCUUUUUCCUCCUCUCAACUGCAAGGCCCUUCAUCUGUGGUACAGCGUGCAGUUGCAUCCCACUCUGGGUGGAGAGAACAUUUCUGUGGCUGGGCUAUGCAAACUCUCUCAUUAACCCUUUUAUCUAUGCCUUCUUCAACCGGGACCUGAGGACAACCUAUCGCAACCUGCUGCAAUGCAGAUACAGGAACAUCAACCGCAAGCUCUCGGCCGCAGGCAUGCACGAGGCUCUGAAGCUUGCAGAAAAGCCAGAAUUCGUUCUGUAAGGUCACUCAUCCUCUACUGUCAUCAUUUGUUGUUUUAUCACAUUGGCUUUUCCCCCACAGGUUCGAAAGAAGUGUUGUAGGAAGAACCAGUUGAGCACAGUUAAUGCAGUCAUCGGGAAACAAGGUAGAGCCCACCAGACCUAAUCAGCCUGGAAAAACAAGACCACCUUCUAAAGAAUUUGGGUGUAAGAGGUAUAUAAAAAAGGAUGGAAGUGAAAUGUAGCACAGGAUGUUUGACCUGUAAGUGAGGAAAAAGCAAAGUUGGCCUAACCUAUUUGUUUGGCCCAAAAAAUGUUUAGUAGGUCUGAAUGUUGGAUGCGCCUUGUGUCCCAGAGAUUCUUUGCUGUAAUAAAGACCUGAGAAUGGUGGAAAGUUAAUUUCCUUCUACUUCAGUAUGACAAAAAUAAAUCAUUAAAGAAGAAGCUGAAUCAAAGAACUUCUAUUCCUUAGAAAUAUUCUUUAUUAUAAAACCCCAUAUGUUCAUUAAACAUUAAUUUACUGGAUUGCCUGGAAAUGAACUAUGUUGUGAAAUUUGUGAAUAUUGCCUUUGCACAGCAACUCUGGCACUGAAAGAAAAUAUUACAUUUCCAAUGUGAUUAAAAAAGUUUGAGUAAAGUCACAUGGACCAGCAUCUGCUGCUGCAUACAGCCCUGCAGCACAGUUAGCUGCAGUGCUGCUGUGCAAACCACACCAGGAGAAGUUCUGAUUUCUCCAGGGAAAAAGAGUCAUGACCAAAUGUGCUUCAAAGCAGCCAGAAAAAGUCAAGCCAGACCAGGGAGAAGAAAAAUGAAGAAUUGGCUUCUGAAGAACUGGAUAGAUUUAUAAAAUGUACUUCAUCUUCCUUUGAUGGGAGUGUGCUAAAAAUAUUCCGUGAGCUCAAUAGAUUACAUUGGAUACAAUUCUAUUGGAAGUACUCACAUCUUGUUUGUUAUGGAGGAAAAUGCUGUUACAUACAAAUGAAAAUAGCUUUCUGCCUGAGAAAGCCAAAUAAUUUCAGCAAUAAGUUUGACAUGGGGUGGAGGGAAUGACACUAAAACUUAAAAAUAAAGACUUGUACAGAUUUCCACCACAUUUAACUAUGUAGAAGAACAUUUGUAUGUUUACCAUGCUUGUGGAUCCCAGUAAUGGUAUUCAUAUUCAGGGACUGUCAGUGAUACUGAAUGUAUUUUGCUGUACUAAAAAAGAGAGGUUUUCAGGCAAAUGCUGUCUCUGUGGAUGCUUUCAGAGCUUGUGUUAAAGAGAUGCUGUACACCUGCAAUGGGAUUGAGAAUGACAACAAUAAAAAACCAAUUUUUGUUAAAGAUUUUUGUUGCAUUAAGUAAAUGUCUGUUACUUGUUACAUACAUGUGGUUGGUUCUCCCAAACUUUUUUAAAAAGCUGCUUUCAGUUAUGCAGUGAGGAAAGUUAAGGGACAAAAUUAGAAUGCACAUGUAUUACACCACAGCUAAUUUACAAAUAUGAUUGCUUUGCUUUAAUGUAAUUUUCAUGACCUGCCAAUUUAUAAAUUUCUGUCACUUCAAUUCAAAUAUGUAUAAAAGGCUGGAGAAUUUCCACAGCACUUUGCUUUUUGUCUUACUGGCUAGCUAGAGAGAGAAUUAAUUUUUUUUCUGAAAAUGUGUUUAAGAAAUGUUAUUUCUGCCAGUGGUUUGUUAUAAUUAAAACAGAUCCCUUUGGCUUGA